CUUAAGAAAGAUGUCAUCAUACUUUCCAACUAUUUUUUUCAGUUUUCAUAUUCUAUUUUCAAAUGUCUACUCAUUUUCGAUUUUGAAUAAUAAAUUAUAUUUUUAAAUAUAAUAAUUUAAGUAUGUUAUGAAGUGCAAUUGAUUGAAUGAACAGACAUGACUUUUAAACAUAAAAUAAAUCAAGCCACAAUGAUAACAGGUAUUUCAUUCAAAUGUUUGUACCUGUGUUUAAAAACUAAAAACACCAACAACCAAUACAAAUUCUUCUGAUUAUUGCAUUUAUACAAUAAAUACAAUUUGCAAAGACCAUUUAGCUCAAACAAUGUCAUUUAAUAAUGAUAGAUCCAUUAACAUGGUCUUGGAGAGUAUAAACUUGAACUAUUAAUUAAAAUCUUUGGUAACAGUUGUAUUUGAUUCCAUCAGAUUAAAGAACUUUGCAUAGAUACAUUGAAAUACAUUGUAUUACAAUUUACAAGGAUUUUUU
This 484-nucleotide long non-coding RNA is filed under the name Mytilus galloprovincialis (Mediterranean mussel). The record is from RNAcentral. Lineage: Eukaryota; Metazoa; Mollusca; Bivalvia; Mytilida; Mytilidae.